This 280-nucleotide long non-coding RNA is filed under the name Lathyrus oleraceus (garden pea). Its description in RNAcentral is "Pisum sativum (pea) long non-coding RNA (PSAT_LNC010998)". The record is from RNAcentral. Lineage: Eukaryota; Viridiplantae; Streptophyta; Magnoliopsida; Fabales; Fabaceae.
AGGAUUCAUAACUUUAGAGCCGUUCCUCCCGGGCCGACAUAUAGGUGCGCUGGCCGCAAGGAUUGCCUAGAUGAUCAAAAGUGCACUAACUAUUGCACUUUUUUCGGAUAUGAUAAAGGUGGUAGAUGUGUUGGAUACGAUCCACAAUCUAAGAUGUGUUGUUGUAUUAUGUAAUGUUACUGUACUUUUUAAUACACCUCUGAAUGAAUAAAACACAUACAUGAGAUACUUUUGAAACUUUGGAAAACUUUUAUUACUGCGUGGUGAAAGUUAAUGAAAU